CCUACGGGUGGCAGCAGUGGGGAAUAUUGGGCAAUGGGCGAAAGCCUGACCCAGCAACGCCGCGUGAAGGAAGAAGGCUCUCGGGUUGUAAACUUCUUUUGACAGGGAAGAGCAGAAGACGGUACCUGUCGAAUAAGCCACGGCUAACUACGUGCCAGCAGCCGCGGUAAUAAGUAGGUGGCCAGCGUUGUCCGGAUUUACUGGGUGUAAAGGGCGUGUAGCCGGGCUGACAAGUCAGAUGGGAAAGCCGGGGGCUCAACCCCCGAACUGCAUUUGAAACUGGUGGUCUUGAGUAUAGGAGAGGAUGGCGGAAGUCCUAGUGUAGCGGUGAAAUGCGUAGAUAUUAGGAGGAACACCGGUGGCGAAGGC
Molecule: ribosomal RNA, 369 nt
Filed under: uncultured bacterium
Lineage: Bacteria
Description: partial 16S ribosomal RNA
Rfam family: Bacterial small subunit ribosomal RNA
Source: RNAcentral